GAUGAACGCUGGCGGCGUGCCUAAUACAUGCAAGUCGAGCGAACAGAUGAGGAGCUUGCUCCUCUGACGUUAGCGGCGGACGGGUGAGUAACACGUGGAUAACCUACCUAUAAGACUGGGAUAACUUCGGGAAACCGGAGCUAAUACCGGAUAAUAUAUUGAACCGCAUGGUUCAAUAGUGAAAGACGGUUUUGCUGUCACUUAUAGAUGGAUCCGCGCCGCAUUAGCUAGUUGGUAAGGUAACGGCUUACCAAGGCAACGAUGCGUAGCCGAGCUGAGAGGGUGAUCGGCCACACUGGAACUGAGACACGGUCCGGACUCCUACGGGAGGCCGCAGUCGGGAAUCUUCCACAAUGGGCGAAAGCCUGACGGAGCACCGCCGCGUGAGUGAUGAAGGUCUUCGGAUCGUAAAACUCUGUUAUUAGGGAAGAACAAAUGUGUAAGUAACUAUGCACGUCUUGACGGUACCUAAUCAGAAAGCCACGGCUAACUACGUG
Molecule: ribosomal RNA, 497 nt
Filed under: uncultured bacterium
Lineage: Bacteria
Description: partial 16S ribosomal RNA
Rfam family: Bacterial small subunit ribosomal RNA
Source: RNAcentral